GAUGAACGCUGGCGGCGUGCCUAAUACAUGCAAGUCGAGCGAACGGACGAGAAGCUUGCUUCUCUGAUGUUAGCGGCGGACGGGUGAGUAACACGUGGAUAACCUACCUAUAAGACUGGGAUAACUUCGGGAAACCGGAGCUAAUACCGGAUGAUAUUUUGAACCGCAUGGUUCAAAAGUGAAAGACGGUCUUGCUGUCACUUAUAGAUGGAUCCGCGCUGCAUUAGCUAGUUGGUAAGGUAACGGCUUACCAAGGCAACGAUGCAUAGCCGACCUGAGAGGAUGAUCGGCCACACUGGAACUGAGACACGGUCCAGACUCCUACGGGAGGCAGCAGUAGGGAAUCUUCCGCAAUGGGCGCAAGCCUGACGGAGCAACGCCGCGUGAGUGAUGAAGGUCUUCGGAUCGUAAAACUCUGUUAUUAGGGAAGAACAUAUGUGUAAGUAACUGUGCACAUCUUGACGGUACCUAAUCAGAAAGCCACGGCUAACUACGUG
This 497-nucleotide ribosomal RNA is filed under the name uncultured bacterium. RNAcentral's name for it is "partial 16S ribosomal RNA". It matches the Rfam family "Bacterial small subunit ribosomal RNA", at positions 28 to 507 of the family's 1533-position model. The record is from RNAcentral.